AAAUAAAUCUCACUGGACCCCCUACCCCUAAAUGCCUCCAUUGGUCAUUGAGAUGAAAAAGCCACAGAAUUCUUUCAGCUCUCUUCUAGGAUCUUCCUUUUGAAUGCAAAGGAACACUGGGAACUCUCCGCAGAGUAAAAUAUGGGUCUCCAUCUCAAUGCCCAGAGACAAAGGCCAAAAAAUGUGAAGAAUUUCCAAAGAGCCUCCUUCAAACGGCAUCUCCCCCCACCUCUGGCUGUGCUCCACAGGCGCUGUGGAUGGGAAUGGUGACUUUCUCCUCCGGGCCUGGCUUGGCCUGUUGCCCACUCACUAAAAGCCCGUAUCUGAAGAGAAAUGAAAUUAGGUAUGUCCCGGCUCCGCCCAUGCACUUGUCCUCACGUAAGAAGAUAGUUCUGUGAUCCGGCCGACCGAUGGGCCUUGUGCGUGGUUCUGCCAGUACAUGGCUGGGACGUUUGCAGCAGGCAGUGCACACUCUUGCACUCCUGUCCCCCGUGGGAGCAGCCCCUGGGAGGGCGAGUCAGGCACCUCACCUACGCCGGGGCAGUGGAAACUUGUUCACUUUCUGAGGACCCUUUAAGAGGAGCACUCACUUGGCUCAGGGCUCUUUUGUUCUCCUUUGGAGGCUGAACAAAAAAGAAUAAGCGGCUGUUCUGUCAUAAGGAUUGAAAAAGAGACGGGGAAAGAGCCCGAGUAUUCUCUCUGUAAGACAUCUUGAAGUGACAGAGUGACGCUUGAUGUGCCAGGGGUCUUUGGCCAUCUGGGUAAAUGUCUGCCGGCCCUCACUCUGCCAGCUUAUUUAACCCUGACCUCUUCUCCCUUCUCUGCACGUCACUAGGAUCCCUCAGAUGGGUAACCAACUGUCCAAGUCUACUUGAGACCAAAGGAUUUCCCAGGACACAAGAUAGGCAUAUAUGUGUGCGCGCGCACACACACGUAUGUCCAGCAUUCUUCUCGCUCCAGUAGACUACAGCCUCCUUCAAGGAAGGAUCUCUUUGUUCUUCUGUAUCAGCUGCCGCAUUGAAGGUACAAUAAAUGUUUGCUGAUGCCGGGCGCAGUGGCUCAAGCUUGUAAUCUCAGCACUUUGGGAGGCUGAGGAAGGCGGAUCACAAGGUCAGGAGAUUGAGACCAUCUUGGAUAACAAGGUGAAACCCCGUGUCUACUAAAAAUACAAAAAAUUAGCUGGGCGUGUUGGUGGAUGCCUAUAAUCUCAUCUACCCAGGAGGGUAAGGCAGGAGAAUCACUUGAACCUGGGAGGCAGAGAUUGCAGUGAGCCCAGAUCGCACCACUGCACUCCAGCCUGGGCGACAAGAGUGAGACUGUCACAAAAAAAAAAAGAAAGAAAGAAAGAAAGAAAGGUGGCUCACGCCUGUAAUCCUAGCACUUUGGGAGACUGAGGUGGGUGGAUCACCUGAGGUCAGGAGUUCAAGACCAGCCUGGCCAUCAUGGUGAAACCCCAUCUUAAAACAAAAAACAAAACAAAACAAAAAGGCCGGGCGCGGUGGCUCACACCUGUAAUCCCAGCACUUUGGGAGGCUGAGGCGGGUGGAUCACGAGGUCAAGAGAUCGAGAUCAUCCUGGUCAACAUGGUGAAACUCCGUCUCUACUAAAAAUACAAAAAUUAACUGGGCAUGGUGGCUCGCACCUGUAGUCCCAGCUACUCGAGAGGCUGAGGCAGGAGAACUGCUUGAACCCAAGAGGUGGAGGUUGCAGUGAGCCAAGAUUGCGCCAUUGAACUCCAGCCUGGGUAACAAGAGUGAAACUUAGUUUCAAAAAAAAAAAAAAAAAAAAAAGAAAGAAAGAAGGAAAGAAAGAAAAGAAAAAAAGUGUGUGUUAUUUUUUUUGACCUAUGAACUGAACUAGACCUUUUCUUCGUUGGAUCUCAUUUCUUUUUUUUUAAUUUGAAAGAAUAACUGACAAACUCUGGUUGUUCAAACUUGGAUGUUUUGCAGAUACUUUGUUGAAAAUGAACAAACUGAGCCUGUCACUUCAAUAAAAAACAACUGAUAGUAUUUGUGGCCAAUUAUGAAGUUUCAGUUUUAAAGCAGAAUUAGAACUUUGCAAAACUUGCAUGUGCUGCUGUUAGUGUGAUGGCUGCCCGAUACGGAAAGGCUUUUCAGGUAAGACUGGUGUUGACGGUAAUGAACGUAGCUUUUUGAUAUCAGAUAAAAUGGGCCCACACUUGGAAGCUUUUUUUUUUUUGAGAUGGAGUCUCAGUCUGUAGCCCAGGCCGGCGUGCGGUGGUACGAUCUCAGCUCACUGCAACCUCCGUCUCCCGGGUCCCAGUUCAAGCAAUUCUACCUCAGCCUCCCAAGUAGCUGGGAUUAUGGGCACGAGCCACCACACCCAGCUAAUUUUUGUAUUUUUUAGAAGAGACAGCGUUUCACCAUGUUGAUCAGUCUGGUCUUGAACUCCUGAUCUUGUGAUCCACCCGCCUGGGCCUCCCAAAGUGCUAGGAUUACAGGCGUGAGCCACUGUGCCCGGCCGGAAGCUUUUUUUUUUUUUUUGAGAUGGAGUUUCGCUCUUGUUACCCAGGCUGGAGUGCAAUGGCGCGAUCUCGGCUCACCGCAACCUCCGCCUCCUGGGUUCAGGCAAUUCUCCUGCCUCAACCUCCCAAGUAGCUGGGAUUACAGGCACGCGCCACCUUGCCCAGCUAAUUUUUUUUGUAUUUUUAGUAGAGACGGGGUUUCACCAUGUUGACCAGGAUGGUCUCGAUCUCUUAACCUCGUGAUCCACCCGUCUCGGCCUCCCAAAGUGCUGGGAUUACAGGCUUGAGCGGAAGCUUUUUAUAAUUCAUUGAACUAAUAUUUUUCAAAUGACCAAUGCAUGAGAUUAAAAAAGUCAUGCAUAGACAAUAGAUUCAUGUAAAAUACAAGAAAGACUAAUGCAUUUUAUUGUAUGAGCGUGUAAAAUGUUCACUGAUGUGGAUUCAGAUCUCACAUUGCAAGCUACCUUUAAGAAAUGAUCACUUGUUGGCCAGGCGUGGUGGCUCACGCCUGUAAUCCAAGCACUUUGGAGGCCGAGGUGGAUGGAUCACCUGAGGUCAGGAGUUCAAGACCAGCCUGACCAACAUGGUGAAACCCUGUCUUUUUUUUUUUUUAAAGAUGGGGUUUCACCAUGAUGGCCAGGCUGGUCUUGAACUCCUGACCCCAGGUGAUCCACCCACCUCGGCCUCCCAAAGUGCUAGGAUUACAGGCGUGAGCCACCGUACCCGGCAAUAAAAUGUUUUUAAAGUAAUAAAAUAUGUAAACCAACAAUGGACUUAUUACUUUAAAUGAAUAUAUAUCUAAUUUUUUUUCUUUUUUUGAGAUAGAGUCUCACUCUGUCACCCAGGUUGAAGUGCAUUAGCAUAAUCAUAACUCGCUACAACUUCUGACUCCUGGGAUGAAGUGAUCCUCCUACCUGAGCUACCUGAGUAGCUGGGACCACAGGUGUGUUUCACAAUACCUGGCUUUUAAAAAUUUUUUUGUAGACAUGGGGUCUUUCUAUGUUGCCCAAGCUGGUCUCU
Molecule: long non-coding RNA, 3505 nt
Filed under: Callithrix jacchus (white-tufted-ear marmoset)
Lineage: Eukaryota; Metazoa; Chordata; Mammalia; Primates; Cebidae
Description: lncRNA (ENSCJAG00000079151.1)
Rfam family: Metazoan signal recognition particle RNA (bases 2973-3168)
Source: RNAcentral